CCUACGGGAGGCAGCAGUGAGGAAUAUUGGUCAAUGGGCGCGAGCCUGAACCAGCCAAGUCGCGUGAAGGAUGAAUGCCCUACGGAUUGUAAACUUCUUUUAUAAAGGAAUAAAGUGCGGCACGUGUGCCUUUUUGUAUGUACUUUAUGAAUAAGGAUCGGCUAACUCCGUGCCAGCAGCCGCGGUAAUACGGAGGAUCCGAGCGUUAUCCGGAUUUAUUGGGUUUAAAGGGAGCGUAGGUGGGUUGUUAAGUCAGCGGUGAAAGCCCGGGGCUCAACCACCGGACUGCCGUUGAAACUGGCAGGCUCGAGUUGGAGUGAAGUAUGCGGAAUGCGCGGUGUAGCGGUGAAAUGCAUAGAUAUCGCGCAGAACUCCGAUUGCGAAGGCAGCAUGCCGGCUCCACACUGACGCUGAGGCACGAAAGCGUGGGUAUCGAACAGGAUUAGAUACCCGAGUAGUC
Molecule: ribosomal RNA, 460 nt
Filed under: uncultured bacterium
Lineage: Bacteria
Description: partial 16S ribosomal RNA
Rfam family: Bacterial small subunit ribosomal RNA
Source: RNAcentral